RNAcentral lists this ribosomal RNA (256 nucleotides) under uncultured bacterium. Its description in RNAcentral is "partial 16S ribosomal RNA". It matches the Rfam family "Bacterial small subunit ribosomal RNA", at positions 524 to 776 of the family's 1533-position model. The record is from RNAcentral.
GACGUAGGUGGCGAACGUUAUCCGGAAUUAUUGGGCGUAAAGGGUGCGUAGGUGGCCUGACAAGUUAUCAGUGGCAAAUCGAGGCUCAACCUCGUGGAAACUGGUAAUACUGUUCGGCUUGAGUACAGGAGAGGUUAACGGAACUCUAUGUGGAGCGGUAAAAUGCACAGAUAUAUAGAAGAACAUCAAUAAAGGCGAAGGCAGUUAACUAUUCUGUUACUGACACUGAGGCACGAAAGCGUGGGGAGCAAAACGG